Macrosteles quadrilineatus (aster leafhopper) is the source of this 3523-nucleotide RNA transcript. It is a transcript of the gene named FAST kinase domain-containing protein 1, mitochondrial-like, with no coding region annotated. The record is from RefSeq and is a predicted model, not a curated record. NCBI's taxonomy places the organism in Eukaryota, Metazoa, Arthropoda, Insecta, Hemiptera, Cicadellidae. The transcript has 15 exons.
GAAUGAUAAGUAGGGGGAGAGAUUGGAGAGAAGGAUUUUAGGUUAUGUCAUAUAAACAUCCAAAUUAAUAGACCUAUUUUUUAUAGUUUAUACUCCGGCUCCUACAAGUAAGAGUGAAUUGGAUAAUCUUCAUUUUUAAAGCAUUGAAAUAUUUUACCAGUUUUAGGUGAAACACAAGAACUCAGGCACUGAAUAACGACGUGGGAAACAAAAUAAAUAUUAGGCUAAUUUAAAAAAUUUAGUUUUUCCGGCAACUAUAAUUAGUAUGCUAUUGGGGUUAAAUAAAGACAUUCAACUUAAUUUAGACGAUUCCCAUAGCCUAUUGUCAUCCGGAAAGGGAAUAAACACAAUGAUCAAAAGAACGUUUUAAAUUGUUAUACUUUCCAAAUUUAAACAAAACUGGGUUCAAACUUUAGUAAAUAGAAAUUUAUUUUUAAAUGUUCUUUACUUUGGUUACUCUUUGUCAAAUCAUUCCUGUAAUCAAAUUUCUAUCUGAAAGAAUAUCGAUAACUAGUAAAUAUUGUGCAAAUGUUGGCAAUACAGAUAUGUCCUGAUAAGUAAAACUAGUUUUUUUACCAACAGUUAUUAAUUAUGAAUCACAACUUAAUGUGCAACAGAAUUCUCUGCUGUUUUAGAUUAAGAUUUUAUAACUUUUCUAAAACGCUUGCCACAAAAUAUGAAACCCACACUUUAUCGCAGUUUAGUCCUACGACAAGCAAUUUUCCCAAAAGAUUUCACUGUUCACCUGAAAGGUUUAACGAGGAAUCAAUAGAAGAGACUGGGGAACCAGAAGACUUGCUUUCACCUCAAAAAAGUAUCAUCUUGGAGGACUACUCUGAACAGUUCCGCAACACACUUUAUCCAGAGUCAGACGAUCCGUUGAUAUCUCAGUUGAAAUCCUGUGAUUCAAUAAAGGACCUUUUCUCCACUGUAAAUAGACAUAAAGGAACUUUGACUCCAUCACACUACUGUCAAGUAUUGCUAGUUUUGUACGAUAUACUUCAUGUCAACAAUUGUCUCACAUUUGGGGCCAUUGUGGCUAACCUACCUGAGAGUAUAAAAAGUGAACUACCUGAACCUCUCUCUUCAGUUAUCUUAAACAUAUUAGACGUCAUAAAGGAUAAUGUAGACCGACUGAGUGCCGAUGAACUUGUUUGUUGUUUAUUGUACUCAAAAAGAUUGGGCGUAGACAUAAAACACCCAUCAGUCCAAACUAUUUUGACAAAAAUUGACCACAUGUUACUAAACCAAGAUGCUGAAUCGUUUUCAAUAUCUGCUUUAUCAAGACUAACAGUUGUAUUGGACAAUCGAAAUGAAUUGUGGACGAAAUUGUUUCUAAUCAAAACAUUACCACUUAUUCAUAGUCACUUUGACAGAUGUAGGAAUGCUGAUGAGUUUAAAGCACUCACAAUCAGCAUGCUGUCAACAGUGAGUUAUCUGAGAGAAGAAUUACUCAUGGAUUAUGAAGCACUAACUGAAGAGUUUCUACGGAAAGGAAUAAUAACUAAAGAGAAUCGGUCAGUGAUUGUUAAAGCCAUUAUGCUGUUAAACCAUGUAUAUUACCAUCCUGCUGCUCGGCAUAUGACGUACAAACUUCUUCACAUGCUACAUGGCCAGUUUCAUGAAAUGUUUCUCCCCCAUCUUUCAGAAAUUCAAAAGGUUCUACAGCAGCAAAAAGAACCGCAUGACACCAUUAUGUUGUUAAAUAAUUUCAAGAAAAAGUCAACAUUUUUACCAAAGCAUGAUGAUGCAAAUUUACAUUUCUACCUACCUUUGUUGAAUUUAUCUACAGAUGCCAAAGGAUCUCAAUUUAUGAAGGAAUUGAUAGCGAAAAGCAACAAUCUUGAUAUUCUACUGAACCUCCAAACCCACCUGACAACUGCAAUGCCUGAUGUUUGCAACAUGUUCUGGUCUAAAGUGGCAGAGAUGUUGGGGUCAUCAACUCCAUUAGACGUCUCAACACUCAUAAGAAUCCUCUUCAGGUACUUGAACUUCUCCAAUCGCAUGGUGACGUACCACCACCGUCAGUUUGAGUCUGUGGCUCUACUAUUGGCUGCUAGAGAGCUAGUGGAUGGCACGACUGUGAUGCAGCCUAAGAAGUUUGCGCUCCUUGCCUACUUUGUGUUGACAGUGGAUACUGAUAGUGGAGUGGCCAGUCUGUCUAACGAUGUUUUGUCUCGUCUUCUUGUUGUCAUUAGUCAGCUGGACAUCCUCAGUUGUAAGUGGGUUUCCAAGGGCAUUGGUGACCGACUUCGCAAGAGCAAGGACGUCCAUUUGCUGUUACAGUUGGAUACUGCCAUGAACGAGCAAAUCAAGGAACUAUCGAAGACUAUAAAUCCUGGUUCUAUAAAAUACUAUAACACAAUUCUGAGGUCGUUUAUUAGUAGAAAACAAUCAGUAGAGAGUGAUCUAAUGCGGGAUGCGAUCAACAGAUGGCGAAUGCUGGACUGGAGUCGGUUGACGUCAAGAUCCCUGCGUAACCUGGUAUACAACCUUGAUAUUUCGAAUGUUCUCAUACCUCAAGUGGUUGAGCGGAUGGUGGAUUACUGUCUGAACAACGAUGCUUACGUGACGGCAGGCACGGUGGGCAAGUUGUUGCAUAUGUGUUACCAUCUGGGAUACACACCAACACAUGUGGACGCGUUGUGUGGCCUCAGUGCCGACCUGGCCACUAGGGACGAGGUAUCAUUGAAUGGAUUGAGUAUCCUGCAAGUAGCUCUAGCUCUAAGUUACUUCGACCGUCUACCAACCUCCCUCAUUAAAAUAAUCUUCACAGUUGACUUCCUCGAAACAUUGGAUAAUGAAAUCAAACAUUGCUUUGCCAAAGACAGAUACCCCCAGAGAGUAAGAAGGGCCCUGAUGGAGCUCAACAGAUCUGUGUGUCUAGACCAACCUGAAGCUGACGUCCCAUGGUUCCAUUCUAAAUUCUGUGAGGAGCAAAAAGCGUUAGGUCAGCUCGAAGUAGUGCCCAAAUCACUUCUGUUCACUGAUGUGUACAGCACAUUGCUGAAACUUGUGGGAGGCAGUCAAUACAUUGGCACCAGGACUUUCUCACCCUACGGCUAUGUGUUAGAUAUGCAAGUAAAUUUAGAUGCAGCAUUACAACCAGUGCCUCUGAAAAGUGACGAAGGUGUUAACAAAUUAGCCUUGCUGUUGUACCACGGAGACAGUUACACAGCGUUUGAGCAGCGACUGAAGGGCUUCCUACAGAUGAAGCAGAGACAUUUGGAGAUCCUCGGCUACAGAGUCAUCAGCCUGUCAGACUCUCUGUGGAACGCUAUGUACAUGACAGAACCCAAGGUCAAGCUGGAGUACCUGCAUAGUCUCAUUUGGCCUUCAUGACAGGAAUUCUCAAAUGAAGAUGAAGAUCCAAAGUGACGAUGCCAAAUGCUGCAAAAAAACUGAUUAGUGAGAAGACUAUCUCUACACAGACAGACUGCAGUGGAGAGCCGUCUCUACACAGAUUAGCCUCUACUGUGGAUAACCACGGCAUCUUGGGCCACACCUGGUGUAUACCCUGCUU